UUGAAUUAUUGAUCACUGGCUCAGAGGGGCACCAAAACCAGGAGCGCAUGAAUCCUGCUGACAGACGGAUGUCUAUGUAGAUUAUCCAAUUGCCAGCUCUCUUUCCCUCUCUUCACUGGACCGUGUAAUACAGAAGAGAGCCAGAGAGACAUCACUUAUGAUUGCUUUUGCGUGCACAAAGAUUUUAAAAGUGAUUUUAACUUUUAAACGAUUACAUUUUUUUAGGAAGUCAAUGACAGCCAAAACAUACUGACAAAAACAGACAGAGUGAUAAAUGAGUGAAAUAUGAGAGCCGAGAGGAACACACUGCCCUCAUUUACUCAACUCCAUGAGCUUCCAAAUCUGCAGGAUGAAUAAACAAUGACAGAAUUUGUAUGUUUGAGUGAAUUAAUCUGCAUUCUCCAUGGAAGGAUGAAAGGAGUGGGGGAUUAAGAUAUGUAAGGGAGGAAGAGGAGACUGACAGCAUGAGAGUAGAGGUACUGGAGAGCAGGAGGGAGUGAGUAGAGUUGAUACAAGUCAAGUAGUUGCAGACACACUCUAUACUGUACACAAGGAAAAUGGGUCCUCGGCUGAACUUCAGCAGCACCUACUCUGAGGAUUUCAGUUACCCGGCUCGGGUGAAACCCAUUGGGCCCAGACCGUCCUCUGCAUAUCGCAGGAACAAUCCUCAUCCACGGCCGGACUUCCUGAUGCCACGAGCCCCGCAGACAGGAUAUGGGUCACGGAAAUACAGUCAAAGCACUUCUGUUUCUUUUCUACCUCCAGUCAGACACAUAUCGGUCCAGUAUCCAGAUGUACAGACAGUACAUGGACAACCCAUACAAACUUCACUAAAAGACUGUAAAGCGCCUGAGGUCUCGUCUGCAGUGUGUACACUGCCACCUGCUGCCAAGCUUCUCAAACCACAACGCAACUUUAAUGCAAUGAUCACAAACACACAUGGGAAAUAUUCAGACACAGAUCGUAUCAAAUCAGCUUGGAACCAGCAGAUGGAGAUCAAGCCAUCUUUAAAACCCUUCAAACACCAGAAUACCCAUCACAAUAAAAGCUCACUCUCAAAAUCCGCAACUGACUGCAGUGAAGGGCACAGCUGUUUUCAUGUGGUGAAACCUUAUAAAGUGGGACACUACAUCAUCCACCCUCAGUUUGUGUCAGAAGCAAAGCACUUCUAAAAGCGACAGUGUUUUUGGAUUGUUUUUUAAAAUAACCUUUUCCAUUUAUUUUAAGUUUGAUAAUGUCAUUUUACAGAGGUGUGUUAUGUGUUUGGGGAUCCAGCCUUUGUAAUAAAUGCUUGGGUGCAACUUCACUUUAAUGACUGUAGCACUAUUAUUUUAUUUUUAAGUAAAUGUGCAUUGCCAUGACAAAUAAACAAUGUUUAUGAUGUUCCCGUUAAAUGUGUUAUUAGCCGUAUGCAAACAUUACCAUGGUACCCAUUACAUUGUAAAAUGUAAAUAAAACAUAGUAUGCAUUCGCAAAAAUGAUAGCUACACUUAAUAUAGCCAGGCUUAAAAUAGUGUUAGAGAUAAAUUGAUAGUUUUUUUAAACCAUACUAUAGUAAUUUAACAUUUUAUUUUACAAGUAUUUAUGUUAAUUGAUGCUACAUUAAUAUAAAUACUAUAGUAUAAUUUAGUUUUUACUACAAUAAACAGUUGUGUAUUGUAGCAUAAUUUAUACAGUUGUAGGUAGAUGUAGUUUUGGGUCAUUAUUGCAAUAGCUGUUGUGUUACCACAGCACCUUUAAAAUUACUGCAGCAGAUUAAUUCAAGUAUAUUUUACCAUAGAAUGGUUUAAAAUACUAUAUUAUUUAUAUAAUAAAACAUAUAGUCUACAUUUGCAAAAAUGAUAGCUCUUCAUAUAGCCAGGCUUAAAAUAGUGGUGAUAACAAACAACAAUUCAAUUCAAUUUAUCUGGUAGAUUGUGUCAAAGCAGCUUACAUAGAAGUUCUAGUAAA
Molecule: long non-coding RNA, 1950 nt
Organism: Danio rerio (zebrafish)
Lineage: Eukaryota; Metazoa; Chordata; Actinopteri; Cypriniformes; Danionidae
Source: Ensembl